This 72-nucleotide transfer RNA is filed under the name Ictidomys tridecemlineatus (thirteen-lined ground squirrel). RNAcentral describes it as "Spermophilus tridecemlineatus (thirteen-lined ground squirrel) tRNA". It matches the Rfam family "tRNA". From Rfam's summary of the family: Transfer RNA (tRNA) molecules are approximately 80 nucleotides in length. Their secondary structure includes four short double-helical elements and three loops (D, anti-codon, and T loops). Further hydrogen bonds mediate the characteristic L-shaped molecular structure. tRNAs have two regions of fundamental functional importance: the anti-codon, which is responsible for specific mRNA codon recognition, and the 3' end, to which the tRNAs corresponding amino acid is attached (by aminoacyl-tRNA synthetases). tRNAs cope with the degeneracy of the genetic code in two manners: having more than one tRNA (with a specific anti-codon) for a particular amino acid; and 'wobble' base-pairing, i.e. permitting non-standard base-pairing at the 3rd anti-codon position. The record is from Rfam by way of RNAcentral. Lineage: Eukaryota; Metazoa; Chordata; Mammalia; Rodentia; Sciuridae.
GGAGUUGUGGUUUAGUGAUAGAGCACUUGCCUAGCAUGUAGGAUGCACUGGGUUAGAUUCUCAGCACCUCAU